UUCUAAAUAAUCUUCCUUCAGCUCUUGCCUUUUCUAUACACAAGUUGCUUGUUUAAAUUGCACAGAGCUCGAUUUCCUUGCUACAUCAAGCAGGAGUCCUGGCUGCUCUGGUGGAAGUGGACCUGGAUUUCUUUCAUGAACCUGGGUUUUCUCUUCUUCUGAGGACAUGUACCUAAAAUUAACCCUCAUCCAGAAUGUCACGGAGAUUAGCUGUUCCAUUUUGGAGACCAGAGACUCCCAGAAGUUCGAAUUCUCUUACAAACUGGAGCUCCUUGGCUCCAUGCUGGACUUCAUUGAAAAGGAACCACGGGAUACCCUGGCAUCUCCAGUUCGCUACAAGGCAAUUCUUGCCAUUGGACAUCUGAGCAAACUCAAACCAUCUUUGACCUUGGAGGAAAACCGUGAGCUCCUUGAUCAGUGUUUCAAAAGUUUGUUUCCCCUCCCUUUCCUUGGAGAAGAUGAUGAAAGAAGAAGGCGAGACAGCAAAGAAUGCUCUGCCUAUACAGUCACUGUACAUAGAGUCCCUGGAAGCCCUUGGCAAGCCAAUGAAGACUUUGCUGGAGGAAGAACCAACCGCAAACUGGUUCUAAAAAUGUUUCAACUACUAGAGACAUGGCUCCAUUCAGGGAAGGAGUGGGAGAGAGAAAGGGCCUUGCAGGCCAGCAUCCAGCUGCUGACUGCCUAUCAAGAGACAGUUCAUAGCACACCCCGAGGACCUUUGGAGUUGUAUGGAGAAAGCCCUAUAGCAGCGAGAGUUCUGAAGAGGAUGAGGGAGAAGCCAAGGGAAUUCCUUUGGCCCAGCCAUUGAUGGAUAUGCCAGAACCCAAACCCGAAACCCAACCGCUCAUGUAACACCCCGAUGAGCAUGGUGGUCUCUUGUCGUCCGGCACGCUGGAGGAGGAAGGCGAUCAUGGCUUGGGGGAGGCACUGGCAGACAAGGUGAAUGGAAAAGAUGUCGCUCAGCUCGACGAUGCCUUUCUAGAGGACCGGAGGCCCUGGACAGCAUUGCAUCAAGCAGCGAAGCUGAACCGGGACCACCUUGUUUUUGCUCAACGCUGCUAGAAAUUGUUGAUGAUGACUCCAAGGAUGACAGCUAUGAGUUUAGGAGGAGGCUUGGCAUGGAACUCGCUGAGCUAGUGCCAUGUCACGAGCGUAAAAAUGUUAUACGGACUAUUGUAUGCAUUGCUGUUUAUGCUGUUCUUAAUCACUGUCUUAGGGAAAAGCUUUCUGAAAAUUGUGAGGGCUGUGUCAUAGAUGCCCCAGCCCAAUGGCACCAUGACUGUGUGACUUGGACUUCAAUGGAUAGAAACUGCUAGCUCUGAAGCCUGUGUGCUGAGCUGUGUUUGGAAAGCUUAUUGAACACUAUUAUUAGCAUAGGUUAUGCUAUGCAACGUCUGUGCCUAACCCAAGAACAUUUUGCGCAAGGGGUGACCUUGAGAAAUGCUGUGCAAUUCAGUGGAGAUCCUGACCAUGUUUUAAAGAAAAUGCCCAAACCGGAAGAUGCCUGCUUACAGCGUUACAUUGACCGUCUGGUCUGCACAAAAAGUGACAGAACCCUGCUUAAGAAAAAGACUAAUUGUAAGAAAUCUAAAAGGAUUAAGUUAGAGAAUGAUGAGGGGACAACCAUGCAAUAUAACACUUGGUCGCUGUAAAUUUUAAGAAAUCUAUUGAAAAGGGCUUUGUGACUAUCUGUGUUUCUGUUAGAAGGUCUCUGGCCCUUAAGUGAGCUAAAAGUUUUAAUGGAGCAUCUGGG
RNA transcript from Dermochelys coriacea (leatherback sea turtle), 1753 nucleotides. It is a transcript of the gene named maestro heat-like repeat-containing protein family member 2B, with no coding region annotated. The transcript has 8 exons. The record is from RefSeq and is a predicted model, not a curated record. NCBI's taxonomy places the organism in Eukaryota, Metazoa, Chordata, Testudines, Dermochelyidae.